This 497-nucleotide ribosomal RNA is filed under the name uncultured bacterium. RNAcentral describes it as "partial 16S ribosomal RNA". It matches the Rfam family "Bacterial small subunit ribosomal RNA", at positions 28 to 507 of the family's 1533-position model. The record is from RNAcentral.
GACGAACGCUGGCGGCGUGCCUAAUACAUGCAAGUUGAGCGAUGAAGAUUGGUGCUUGCCCCAAUUUGAAGAGCAGCGAACGGGUGAGUAACGCGUGGGGAAUCUGCCUUUGAGCGGGGGACAACAUUUGGAAACGAAUGCUAAUACCGCAUAAUAACUUUAAACAUAAGUUUUAAGUUUGAAAGAUGCAAUUGCAUCACUCAAAGAUGAUCCCGCGUUGUAUUAGCUAGUUGGUGAGGUAAAGGCUCACCAAGGCGAUGAUACAUAGCCGACCUGAGAGGGUGAUCGGCCACAUUGGGACUGAGACACGGCCCAAACUCCUACGGGAGGCAGCAGUAGGGAAUCUUCGGCAAUGGACGAAAGUCUGACCGAGCAACGCCGCGUGAGUGAAGAAGGGUUUCGGAUCGUAAAACUCUGUUGGUAGAGAAGAACGUUGGUGAGAGUGGAAAGCUCAUCAAGUGACGGUAACUACACAGAAAGGGACGGCUAACUACGUG